GAUGAAGAACGUAGCGAAAUGCGAUAAGUAAUGUGAAUUGCAGAAUUCAGUGAAUCAUCGAAUCUUUGAACGCACAUUGCGCCCGCUAGUAUUCUGGCGGGCAUGCCUGUCCGAGCGUCAUUUCAACCCUCAAGCCCCCGGGCUUGGUGUUGGGGAUCGGCGAGCCUCCGCGCCCGCCGUCCCCUAAAUCUAGUGGCGGUCUCGCUGUAGCUUCCUCUGCGUAGUAGCACACCUCGCACUGGGAAACAGCGCGGCCACGCCGUUAAACCCCCAACUUCUGAACGUUUGACCUCGGAUCAGGUAGGAAUACCCGCUGAACUUAAGCAUAUCAAUAAGCGGAGG
Molecule: unclassified non-coding RNA, 342 nt
Filed under: soil metagenome
Description: partial contains 5.8S ribosomal RNA, internal transcribed spacer 2, and large subunit ribosomal RNA
Rfam family: 5.8S ribosomal RNA (bases 1-120)
Source: RNAcentral